RNAcentral lists this ribosomal RNA (492 nucleotides) under uncultured bacterium. Its description in RNAcentral is "partial 16S ribosomal RNA". It matches the Rfam family "Bacterial small subunit ribosomal RNA", at positions 29 to 507 of the family's 1533-position model. The record is from RNAcentral.
AGUGAACGCUGGCGGUAGGCCUAACACAUGCCAGUCGAACGGCAGCACAGUAAGAGCUUGCUCUUACGGGUGGCGAGUGGCGGACGGGUGAGGAAUACAUCGGAAUCUACUUUUUCGUGGGGGAUAACGUAGGGAAACUUACGCUAAUACCGCAUACGACCUACGGGUGAAAGCAGGGGAUCUUCGGACCUUGCGCGAUUGAAUGAGCCGAUGUCGGAUUAGCUAGUUGGCGGGGUAAAGGCCCACCAAGGCGACGAUCCGUAGCUGGUCUGAGAGGAUGAUCAGCCACACUGGAACUGAGACACGGUCCAGACUCCUACGGGAGGCAGCAGUGGGGAAUAUUGGGCAAUGGGCGCAAGCAUGAUCCAGCCAUACCGCGUGGGUGAAGAAGGCCUUCGGGUUGUAAAGCCCUUUUGUUGGGAAAGAAAAGCAGCAGGUUAAUACCCCGCUGUUCUGACGGUACCCAAAGAAUAAGCACCGGCUAACUUCGUG